CUGGUAAAAAGGUGAAAACCUUUUUUACCCCCAAACUCUGUGCAAUGGAGCACACGGCUUAUGCAUCGAUGAAGCCCGCGGCAAAAAGCGAUAUGUAAUGAGAUUCGUUAGCCUCGCGAUUCAUCAAAUUGGUGAACACAUACUGGACCUCUUCGGAGGUACUUGCGUUAGAGUGCUAGUUUUCUAUCAAUUGAUCCUGGUAAAAGGUGUUUGAAUCAUUAGGUCUUACGCCCUAGCCGGUGUAGCCGGAUUCUCUUUGAGAAUUCGGAUUGUUCCUGGAAUAUGAUAAUCUUGUUUUUAGGUUACACUUAUGGGUUUACUCAUGGUUAAGUAAUCUAAACGCUUGGUUAUUGACUAGGUCAAUCCAUUUUUUAUUAAACUGGCCUCUAAUGUGAGAGGGUACCCCCUGGAUUUAAGCAUAU
Molecule: unclassified non-coding RNA, 422 nt
Filed under: Naegleria sp. RNG181
Lineage: Eukaryota; Heterolobosea; Eutetramitea; Acrasida; Naegleriidae
Description: partial contains ITS1, 5.8S rRNA, ITS2, and 28S rRNA
Rfam family: 5.8S ribosomal RNA (bases 34-178)
Source: RNAcentral